GAUGAACGCCGGCGGUGUGCCUAAUACAUGCAAGUCGAACGCGUUGGUCCAAUUGAUUGAUGGUGCUUGCACCUGAUUGAUUUUGGUCGCCAACGAGUGGCGGACGGGUGAGUAACACGUAGGUAACCUGCCCAGAAGCGGGGGACAACAUUUGGAAACAGAUGCUAAUACCGCAUAACAGCGUUGUUCGCAUGAACAACGCUUAAAAGAUGGCUUCUCGCUAUCACUUCUGGAUGGACCUGCGGUGCAUUAGCUUGUUGGUGGGGUAAUGGCCUACCAAGGCGAUGAUGCAUAGCCGAGUUGAGAGACUGAUCGGCCACAAUGGGACUGAGACACGGCCCAUACUCCUACGGGAGGCAGCAGUAGGGAAUCUUCCACAAUGGGCGCAAGCCUGAUGGAGCAACACCGCGUGAGUGAAGAAGGGUUUCGGCUCGUAAAGCUCUGUUGUUAAAGAAGAACACGUAUGAGAGUAACUGUUCAUACGUUGACGGUAUUUAACCAGAAAGUCACGGCUAACUACGUGCCAGCAGCCGCGGUAAUACGUAGGUGGCAAGCGUUAUCCGGAUUUAUUGGGCGUAAAGAGAGUGCAGGCGGUUUUCUAAGUCUGAUGUGAAAGCCUUCGGCUUAACCGGAGAAGUGCAUCGGAAACUGGAUAACUUGAGUGCAGAAGAGGGUAGUGGAACUCCAUGUGUAGCGGUGGAAUGCGUAGAUAUAUGGAAGAACACCAGUGGCGAAGGCGGCUACCUGGUCUGCAACUGACGCUGAGACUCGAAAGCAUGGGUAGCGAACAGGAUUAGAUACCCUGGUAGUCCAUGCCGUAAACGAUGAGUGCUAGGUGUUGGAGGGUUUCCGCCCUUCAGUGCCGGAGCUAACGCAUUAAGCACUCCGCCUGGGGAGUACGACCGCAAGGUUGAAACUCAAAGGAAUUGACGGGGGCCCGCACAAGCGGUGGAGCAUGUGAUUUAAUUCGAAGCUACGCGAAGAACCUUACCAGGUCUUGACAUCUUGCGCCAACCCUAGAGAUAGGGCGUUUCCUUCGGGAACGCAAUGACAGGUGGUGCAUGGUCGUCGUCAGCUCGUGUCGUGAGAUGUUGGGUUAAGUCCCGCAACGAGCGCAACCCUUGUUACUAGUUGCCAGCAUUAAGUUGGGCACUCUAGUGAGACUGCCGGUGACAAACCGGAGGAAGGUGGGGACGACGUCAGAUCAUCAUGCCCCUUAUGACCUGGGCUACACACGUGCUACAAUGGACGGUACAACGAGUCGCGAACUCGCGAGGGCAAGCAAAUCUCUUAAAACCGUUCUCAGUUCGGACUGCAGGCUGCAACUCGCCUGCACGAAGUCGGAAUCGCUAGUAAUCGCGGAUCAGCAUGCCGCGGUGAAUACGUUCCCGGGCCUUGUACACACCGCCCGUCACACCAUGAGAGUUUGUAACACCCAAAGUCGGUGGGGUAACCUUUUAGGAGCCAGCCGCCUAAGGUGGGACAGAUGAUUAGGGUG
Molecule: ribosomal RNA, 1498 nt
Filed under: Limosilactobacillus fermentum
Lineage: Bacteria; Bacillati; Bacillota; Bacilli; Lactobacillales; Lactobacillaceae
Description: bacterial SSU rRNA
Rfam family: Bacterial small subunit ribosomal RNA
Source: RNAcentral